GACGAACGCUGGCGGCGUGCUUAACACAUGCAAGUCGAACGGAAAGGCCCUGCUUUUGUGGGGUGCUCGAGUGGCGAACGGGUGAGUAACGCGUGAGUAACCUGCCCUUGCCUUUGGGAUAACUUCAGGAAACUGGGGCUAAUACCGGAUAGGAGCUCCUGCUGCAUGGUGGGGGUUGGAAAGUUUCGGCGGUUGGGGAUGGACUCGCGGGUGAUCAGCCUGUUGGUGGGGUAGUGGCGUACCAAGGCUUUGACGGGUAGCCGGCCUGAAAGGGUGACCGGCCACAUUGGGACUGAGACACGACCCAGACUCCUACGGUAGGCAGCAGUGGGGGAUAUUGCACAACAGCGGGAAGCCUGAUGCAGCAGCGCCGCGUGCGGGAUGACGGCCUUCGGGUUGUGAACCGCUUUCGCCUGUGACGAAGCGUGGGUGACGGUAACGGGUAAAGAAGCACCGGCUAACUACGUG
RNAcentral lists this ribosomal RNA (468 nucleotides) under uncultured bacterium. Its description in RNAcentral is "partial 16S ribosomal RNA". It matches the Rfam family "Bacterial small subunit ribosomal RNA", at positions 28 to 507 of the family's 1533-position model. The record is from RNAcentral.